ACGGAAGGCAGCAGUGGGGAAUAUUGGGCAAUGGGGGAAACCCUGACCCAGCAACGCCGCGUGAAGGAAGAAGGCCUUCGGGUUGUAAACUUCUUUUACCAGGGACGAUAAUGACGGUACCUGGAGAAAAAGCAACGGCUAACUACGUGCCAGCAGCCGCGGUAAUACGUAGGUUGCAAGCGUUGUCCGGAUCUACUGGGUGUAAAGGGCGUGUAGGCGGAGCUGCAAGUCAGAUGUGAAAUCCCGGGGCUCAACCCCGGAACUGCAUUUGAAACUGUAGCCCUUGAGUAUCGGAGAGGCAAGCGGAAUUCCUAGUGUAGCGGUGAAAUGCGUAGAUAUUAGGAGGAACACCAGUGGCGAAGGCGGCUUGCUGGACGACAACUGACGCUGAGGCGCGAAAGCGUGGGGAGCAAACAGGAUUAGAUACCCUGGUA
This 434-nucleotide ribosomal RNA is filed under the name uncultured Oscillospiraceae bacterium. Its description in RNAcentral is "partial 16S ribosomal RNA". It matches the Rfam family "Bacterial small subunit ribosomal RNA", at positions 341 to 792 of the family's 1533-position model. The record is from RNAcentral. Lineage: Bacteria; Bacillati; Bacillota; Clostridia; Eubacteriales; Oscillospiraceae.